This 253-nucleotide ribosomal RNA is filed under the name uncultured bacterium. Its description in RNAcentral is "partial 16S ribosomal RNA". It matches the Rfam family "Bacterial small subunit ribosomal RNA", at positions 524 to 776 of the family's 1533-position model. The record is from RNAcentral.
UACGGAGGAUGCAAGCGUUAUCCGGAUUCAUUGGGUUUAAAGGGUGCGUAGGCGGACUUAUAAGUCAGUGGUGAAAACCUGCAGCUUAACUGUAGACGUGCCAUUGAUACUGUUAGUCUUGAGUAUGGUCAAGGUAGGCGGAAUGUGUAAUGUAGCGGUGAAAUGCUUAGAUAUUACACAGAACACCGAUUGCGAAGGCAGCUUACUGGGCCAUUACUGACGCUGAUGCACGAAAGCGUGGGGAGCGAACAGG